Molecule: ribosomal RNA, 395 nt
Filed under: Pristimantis kichwarum
Lineage: Eukaryota; Metazoa; Chordata; Amphibia; Anura; Strabomantidae
Description: partial 16S ribosomal RNA
Rfam family: Bacterial large subunit ribosomal RNA
Source: RNAcentral
GGGCUAAACUGUCUCCUUUUUCUAAUCAGUGAACCUAAUCUCCCCGUGAAAAAGCGGGGAUCCCCCUAUAAGACGAGAAGACCCUAUGGAGCUUAAAACAUAACAAUACCUGACGUUCUUAUUGUGUGUUUUUGGUUGGGGCGACCGCGGAGAAAAACCUAUCCUCCUCAAUGAAUAAACAACAAGCUACAACUUUAAGUAUCAAAAAAUUGACAUCCCUUGACCCAAUAAAUUGAUUAAUGAACCAAGUUACCCUAGGGAUAACAGCACAAUCCACUUUGAGAGCUCCUAUCGACAAGUGGGCUUAUGACCUCGAUGUUGGAUUAGGGUAUCCUAGUGGUGCAGCCGCUACUAAAGGUUCGUUUGUUCAACGAUUAAAACCCCACGUGAUCUGA